GAUGAACGCUCGCUACAGGCUUAACACAUGCAAGUCGAGGGGAAACGCCAUCGAAAGCUUGCUUUUGAUGGGCGUCGACCGGCGCACGGGUGAGUAACGCGUAUCCAACCUGCCCAUCACUUGGGAAUAACCUUGCGAAAGUAAGACUAAUACCCAAUGACAUCCCACGAAGACAUCUGAAUGGGAUUAAAGAUUUAUCGGUGAUGGAUGGGGAUGCGUCUGAUUAGCUUGUUGGCGGGGUAACGGCCCACCAAGGCAACGAUCAGUAGGGGUUCUGAGAGGAAGGUCCCCCACAUUGGAACUGAGACACGGUCCAAACGCCUACGGGAGGCAGCAGUGAGGAAUAUUGGUCAAUGGGCGAGAGCCUGAACCAGCCAAGUAGCGUGCAGGAUGACGGCCCUAUGGGUUGUAAACUGCUUUUAGAAGGGAAUAAAGUGGGUCUCGGGAGACUUUUUGCAUGUACCUUAUGAAUAAGGACCGGCUAAUUCCGUG
RNAcentral lists this ribosomal RNA (492 nucleotides) under uncultured bacterium. RNAcentral describes it as "partial 16S ribosomal RNA". It matches the Rfam family "Bacterial small subunit ribosomal RNA", at positions 28 to 507 of the family's 1533-position model. The record is from RNAcentral.